RNAcentral lists this non-coding RNA (32 nucleotides) under Rattus norvegicus (Norway rat). Lineage: Eukaryota; Metazoa; Chordata; Mammalia; Rodentia; Muridae. The record is from RNAcentral.
UGAGAAGUCAAGGCAGGAACUCCAUCAGGGCU